UAAAGGGAAUCUUAGCUUUUUCCACAGUUUAGCUAUUGUGGACAUUGCUGCUAUGACUGGCACCCAUUCCCUGGGCACUCUGCAUGAUCAAGACACUGUCCUUAUUGAACAGAUUGGCUGAGCUGAGCAGGAACAUGAGGGAGGAGUGUCCCUGACAGGGAAGGGAGGCUGAGAGAGGAGCGCAGGUCCCUGGUUCCUGGAGUAGAAGAGAGAAGAGCAGAAGCUGGCUGGUGAGAGGCAGCAGAAAUCCCCUGCACUAGGUGAGGAAGGCUGCUCAGACUGAGAGGGGAUGUGAGCUGACCUCAGCAAGCAUGUUCCAGGUCCUGAAGGAGAUAACUUCUUGCUCUUAGUUCUGCCAGGUAGGUGUUCCUCUGACACAAGCCAGGACAGAAAUAGGGGAAGCUUCUGCUCUUCCUUCUUAAUAAAUUCCUUAUCUCUGUUUUUGAC
RNAcentral lists this long non-coding RNA (447 nucleotides) under Mustela putorius furo (domestic ferret). RNAcentral's name for it is "lncRNA (ENSMPUG00000027446.1)". Lineage: Eukaryota; Metazoa; Chordata; Mammalia; Carnivora; Mustelidae. The record is from RNAcentral.